This 254-nucleotide ribosomal RNA is filed under the name uncultured bacterium. Its description in RNAcentral is "partial 16S ribosomal RNA". It matches the Rfam family "Bacterial small subunit ribosomal RNA", at positions 524 to 776 of the family's 1533-position model. The record is from RNAcentral.
UACGUAGGGUGCGAGCGUUGUCCGGAAUUAUUGGGCGUAAAGAGCUCGUAGGCGGUCUGUCGCGUCGAUCGUGAAAACUUGGGGCUUAACCCUGAGCUUGCGGUCGAUACGGGCAUGACUGGAGUUCGGCAGGGGAGACUGGAAUUCCUGGUGUAGCGGUGAAAUGCGCAGAUAUCAGGAGGAACACCGGUGGCGAAGGCAGCCCCCUGGGCUGACACUGACGCUCAGGCACGAAAGCGUGGGGAGCAAACAGG